GCGGCCGUGGCGGAAUGGCAGACGCGCCGGCCUUAGGAGCCGGUAUCUUACGAUGUGGGAGUUCAAGUAUCUUCGGCCGCACCA
Molecule: transfer RNA, 84 nt
Filed under: Clostridiales bacterium
Lineage: Bacteria; Bacillati; Bacillota; Clostridia; Eubacteriales
Description: tRNA-Leu
Rfam family: tRNA
About the family: Transfer RNA (tRNA) molecules are approximately 80 nucleotides in length. Their secondary structure includes four short double-helical elements and three loops (D, anti-codon, and T loops).
Source: RNAcentral